GGCAAGAUGGCCGAGUGGUCUAAGGCGAUUGAUUAGAAAUCAAUUCUCUUCGGAGGCCAGAGUUCGAAUCUCUGUCUUGUCG
Aspergillus rambellii is the source of this 82-nucleotide transfer RNA. It matches the Rfam family "tRNA". From Rfam's summary of the family: Transfer RNA (tRNA) molecules are approximately 80 nucleotides in length. Their secondary structure includes four short double-helical elements and three loops (D, anti-codon, and T loops). Further hydrogen bonds mediate the characteristic L-shaped molecular structure. tRNAs have two regions of fundamental functional importance: the anti-codon, which is responsible for specific mRNA codon recognition, and the 3' end, to which the tRNAs corresponding amino acid is attached (by aminoacyl-tRNA synthetases). tRNAs cope with the degeneracy of the genetic code in two manners: having more than one tRNA (with a specific anti-codon) for a particular amino acid; and 'wobble' base-pairing, i.e. permitting non-standard base-pairing at the 3rd anti-codon position. NCBI's taxonomy places the organism in Eukaryota, Fungi, Ascomycota, Eurotiomycetes, Eurotiales, Aspergillaceae. The record is from Rfam.